ACACUAAUACCACACACAUAAGAGCAUCGAGACUGACUCUUCUGUCACAGUGAGAAACUGGGCGUGAAAGUGUUUAUCUAGGGCUUUGGGAUUAUCAAUGAGCAAAUUACCACUGAUCCAGCAGAGGGUCUCAGGCAGACUGUGUGCUUCUGGCAGGGACUGAAGAUUCUGUCUCUAGGGUUUAAGAAGGAUGGGAGAAACGAGGGACAAAUGACUGCACUUUAUUUUGAUGAAACAUAUGUAGUCUAUUCUUAAUGGCUCAUUAUUGAUUCUUUUUUCCUUUUUGAUAUCACGCCCCUCCCCUUUUCCUUUAGAGUAUCUGUGUGAGUGUGUUUUGUUUGAGAGUGGUGGCUCAUGCUGAAAGAGGCAGAGAGCACUACUCCCAGGAGGAUUCAUCUCACUACCAGCCUGAGUGACUUUUCCUCCAGCUGCACCAAUGACUCUCCAUACACGCCAGCUGCAUGGAUAUGGACUGUAUUAUUUGUUGGCAUGGCUGACACUUUUCAUGUCACAAGUUGAUGGGCUGCAGUGCUAUGCCUGUAACAUUGUGCAUAACCAGAGGUAUGUGGAUGUAGGCUGCUCCAGCCCCGAAGUCAUCACCUGCUCCCACUCCCACAAGGGCUUUAAGCAUCGCUUCUGCAUCAGGACAGAAAGUGUUGCAUUGGGAGUCAUGCUGACCAGUGGCUGUGCCACAGCCCGACACUGCCACACGGAGGAGCUGCCGGGAGUCAACAUCCACUGCUGCGACUCUGAUCUGUGCAACAGCGCCACCCGCUGGCGGACAACCACACUGAUGCCUAUGUGCUCAUUGACGUUUGCUUUGUUGCUUCAAAGUGUCAUACUGUCGACGAAAUAACUUAGAACUUUGAACUUCACGGCAAAAUCACGGCAGCUACACUUGGAUUCAACACAUAAAGGAGGGAACCUUGAAAAUAUAAUUAUAAAAUCUUUGAACACAGAUCCUGGAGUAUGUGAACAAACCAAACAAAUUACUUUGAAACCUUCUUCACAUCACGUAUCACAUUUGAUCUUCAAUUUAAAGUUGUCUUUGGAUUAUUAGAUAAUUUCUUAAAAACAAAACAAAACAAAAAACUCAAUGUAAGCCUCACAAGGACUUUGUAUAUGGCCAAAAAACUUAAUUUGUAACCAUUUAAUUCAUUUUAAAGCAUAAGAAGAUACAUGCCCUUUACAUGUAUAUUGUUAUUUUACUCUGAAGAAGCUUUCUAUGUCUUCAGAAAUUGUUUACGGAUGCCCAAAUGUAAAAUGUCUUUGCAUUAGAAACAAAAUCUCAAAAACAAGUGGGCAAUGAAAAUGCUGACCUUUUCUCAGAUAUUUUUGCAAUUUCUUUUAAUCAGUUGGUCUCAAUGUGAUUUUGGUAACACUUUAGAAUAAUGGUCCGUCAUUAAUAAGUAACUAU
Long non-coding RNA from Ctenopharyngodon idella (grass carp), 1417 nucleotides. RefSeq lists it as uncharacterized. Lineage: Eukaryota; Metazoa; Chordata; Actinopteri; Cypriniformes; Xenocyprididae. The transcript has 3 exons. The record is from RefSeq and is a predicted model, not a curated record.